UAAGACGAUGAGGUGCUGUUUGCAGCCAU
This 29-nucleotide small RNA is filed under the name Bombyx mori (domestic silkworm). RNAcentral's name for it is "ovarian small RNA-19146". Lineage: Eukaryota; Metazoa; Arthropoda; Insecta; Lepidoptera; Bombycidae. The record is from RNAcentral.